CUGCGGCGGCGCGACACCCCCGCCGGCGCCGGCGCAGUCCGACCGCGACGUGGAGAUGGGUCUCCCCGGCGGCGAGAGCAGCGCAUCGCGGCCGGCGACGAAGCCACAGCCAGGUUCUUGAUGCGAACUGCUGCACUUCCACUCUCUCUCAUCAUCUUCUUCCUCCUCCUCUUCCACUCUUCUCCCUUGAGCCAUUGAGGCAUCAUCGGAAGCAAGUGUACAGAUGAUCCCCAUAUGUAUAACCAACUAUAUAAAUCUACAGUUUAUAGCUACAAGAUUUGGAUGCAUUUUGGCAAAUCCGUUGUUGGUCCAGUUAGCUCCGGUUUGCUUUUUUUUUUUCCACAGUGAAUAUAUCGAGCAAAAAUAAAGCUUGUUUCUUAUGAUGGGUGAAAAAGAUUCUUUAGCCAGUAUAUUAGUGUAAAAUGUCAAUUCGUAAUCACAUUCAUGUAAGGGCGGUGUUUGUUUGGGACAAAGAGACUUAUUUUUGUCCCUUGUCCCAUCGAAUAUCUGAACGUUUAUUAUAAAUUCGCGAGACGAAUCUACUGAGCCUAAUUACUCUAUGAUUAGCCUAUGUGAUGCUACAGUAAACAUAUUCUAAUUAUAGAUUAAUUAGGCUUAAAAAAUUCGUCUCGCGGAUUA
This 639-nucleotide long non-coding RNA is filed under the name Oryza brachyantha (malo sina). RNAcentral describes it as "long non-coding RNA (OBRA_LNC000807)". Lineage: Eukaryota; Viridiplantae; Streptophyta; Magnoliopsida; Poales; Poaceae. The record is from RNAcentral.